Molecule: long non-coding RNA, 373 nt
Filed under: Phaseolus vulgaris (common bean)
Lineage: Eukaryota; Viridiplantae; Streptophyta; Magnoliopsida; Fabales; Fabaceae
Description: long non-coding RNA (PVUL_LNC000472)
Source: RNAcentral
UGGGCCUUCCUCAUCACCAGGUCGCCUUCUCUAAACUGCCUUGGCAUCACCUUCGAGUUAUAUCUUCGUUCAAUCCUCCUCUUCACCGCCUCAGCCUUCAAUCUCGCUUCCUCUCUAACCUCAUCCAGUAGAUCCAGGUUCAGCCUUCUCUCUUCAUUCGAGUCUUCCUCUACAAAGUUCUGGAAUCUCGGCGAGCUCUCCUGAAUCUCUACUUGAAUCAUCGCAUCACACCCAUAGACUAGGCUGAACGGGGUCUCAUGGGUUCCUGACUGCUCGGUGGUAUGGUAUGCCCAGACUAUACGGGGCACCUCCUCAGCCCAGCUUCCCUUGGCUUUUUCUAGCCUUCUCUUCAAACCUCUCAACAACACCCGAU